RNAcentral lists this ribosomal RNA (1949 nucleotides) under human oral metagenome. Its description in RNAcentral is "bacterial LSU rRNA". It matches the Rfam family "Bacterial large subunit ribosomal RNA", at positions 3 to 1977 of the family's 2925-position model. The record is from RNAcentral.
UUAAGUUAAUAAGGGCGCACGGUGGAUGCCUUGGCACUAGGAGCCGAAGAAGGACGUGACAAACGACGAUAUGCCUUGGGUAGCUGUAAGUAAGCGAUGAUCCAGGGAUUUCCGAAUGGGGGAACCCAACAGGUACUACCUGUUACCCAUAUCUGUUAAGGAUAUGAGGAGGAAGACGCAGUGAACUGAAACAUCUAAGUAGCUGCAGGAAGAGAAAGCAAAAGCGAUUGCCUUAGUAGCGGCGAGCGAAACGGCAGGAGGGCAAACCGAAGAGUUUACUCUUCGGGGUUGUAGGACUGCAAUGUGGACUCAAAGAUUAUAGAAGAAUGAUUUGGGAAGAUCAGCCAAAGAGAGUAAUAGCCUCGUAUUUAAAAUAGUCUUUGUACCUAGCAGUAUCCUGAGUACGGCGGGACACGUGAAAUCCCGUCGGAAUCUGGGAGGACCAUCUCCCAACCCUAAAUACUCCCUAGUGACCGAUAGUGAACCAGUACCGUGAGGGAAAGGUGAAAAGCACCCCGGGAGGGGAGUGAAAUAGAACCUGAAACCGUGUGCCUACAACAAGUUCGAGCCCGUUAAUGGGUGAGAGCGUGCCUUUUGUAGAAUGAACCGGCGAGUUACGUUAUGAUGCGAGGUUAAGUUGAAGAGACGGAGCCGUAGGGAAACCGAGUCUGAAUAGGGCGCCUUAGUAUCAUGACGUAGACCCGAAACCAUGUGACCUACCCAUGAGCAGGUUGAAGGUGCGGUAAGACGCACUGGAGGACCGAACCAGGGCACGUUGAAAAGUGCUUGGAUGACUUGUGGGUAGCGGAGAAAUUCCAAACGAACUUGGAGAUAGCUGGUUCUCUCCGAAAUAGCUUUAGGGCUAGCGUCGACAUAAAGAUUCUUGGAGGUAGAGCACUGUUUGGGUGAGGGGUCCAUCCCGGAUUACCAAUCUCAGAUAAACUCCGAAUGCCAAAGAAUUAUGGUCGGCAGUCAGACUGCGAGUGCUAAGAUCCGUAGUCGAAAGGGAAACAGCCCAGACCACCAGCUAAGGUCCCAAAAUAAUUGUUAAGUGGAAAAGGAUGUGGGGUUGCACAGACAACUAGGAUGUUAGCUUAGAAGCAGCUAUUCAUUCAAAGAGUGCGUAAUAGCUCACUAGUCGAGUGACCCUGCGCCGAAAAUGUACCGGGGCUAAAACAAUUUACCGAAGCUGUGGAUCCUUUAGGGGAUGGUAGGAGAGCGUUCUAUGUGUGGUGAAGGUGUACCGUGAGGAGCGCUGGAACGCAUAGAAGUGAGAAUGCCGGUAUGAGUAGCGAAAGACAGGUGAGAAUCCUGUCCACCGUAAGACUAAGGUUUCCAGGGGAAGGCUCGUCCGCCCUGGGUUAGUCGGGACCUAAGGAGAGACCGAAAGGUGUAUCCGAUGGACAACAGGUUGAUAUUCCUGUACUAGAGUAUGUAGUGAUGGAGGGACGCAGUAGGCUAACUAAAGCAGACGAUUGGAAGAGUCUGUCUAAGCAGUGAGGUGUGAAUUGAGUCAAAUGCUUAAUUCUAUAACAUUGAGCUGUGAUGGGGAGCGAAGUUUAGUAGCGAAGUUAGUGACGUCACACUGCCAAGAAAAGCUUCUAGCGUUUAAACAUACUCUACCCGUACCGCAAACCGACACAGGUAGUCGAGGCGAGUAGCCUCAGGUGAGCGAGAGAACUCUCGUUAAGGAACUCGGCAAAAUGACCCCGUAACUUCGGGAGAAGGGGUGCUGACUGAUGUCAGCCGCAGUGAAUAGGCCCAAGCAACUGUUUAUCAAAAACACAGCUCUCUGCUAAAUCGUAAGAUGAUGUAUAGGGGGUGACGCCUGCCCGGUGCUGGAAGGUUAAGAGGAGUGCUUAGGAGUAAUCCGAAGGUAUGAAUUGAAGCCCCAGUAAACGGCGGCCGUAACUAUAACGGUCCUAAGGUAGCGAAAUUCCUUGUCGGGU